AGUGAACGCUGGCGGUAGGCCUAACACAUGCAAGUCGAACGGCAGCACAGUAAGAGCUUGCUCUUACGGGUGGCGAGUGGCGGACGGGUGAGGAAUACAUCGGAAUCUACUUUUUCGUGGGGGAUAACGUAGGGAAACUUACGCUAAUACCGCAUACGACCUACGGGUGAAAGCAGCGGAUCUUCGGACCUUGCGCGAUUGAAUGAGCCGAUGUCGGAUUAGCUAGUUGGCGGGGUAAAGGCCCACCAAGGCGACGAUCCGUAGCUGGUCUGAGAGGAGGAUCAGCCACACUGGAACUGAGACACGGUCCAGACUCCUACGGGAGGCAGCAGUGGGGAAUAUUGGACAAUGGGCGCAAGCCUGAUCCAGCCAUACCGCGUGGGUGAAGAAGGCCUUCGGGUUGUAAAGCCCUUUUGUUGGGAAAGAAAAGCAGCAGGUUAAUACCCCGCUGUUCUGACGGUACCCAAAGAAGAAGCACCGGCUAACUUCGUG
This 492-nucleotide ribosomal RNA is filed under the name uncultured bacterium. RNAcentral's name for it is "partial 16S ribosomal RNA". It matches the Rfam family "Bacterial small subunit ribosomal RNA", at positions 29 to 507 of the family's 1533-position model. The record is from RNAcentral.